RNAcentral lists this ribosomal RNA (406 nucleotides) under uncultured bacterium. RNAcentral describes it as "partial 16S ribosomal RNA". It matches the Rfam family "Bacterial small subunit ribosomal RNA", at positions 30 to 526 of the family's 1533-position model. The record is from RNAcentral.
AUUGAACGCUGGCGGCAGGCCUAACACAUGCAAGUCGAACGAGUGGCGGACGGGUGAGUAAUGUCUGGGAAACUGCCCGAUGGAGGGGGAUAACUACUGGAAACGGUAGCUAAUACCGCAUACCAUCGGAUGUGCCCAGAUGGGAUUAGCUUGUUGGUGGGGUAACGGCUCACCUAGGCGACGAUCCCUAGCUGGUCUGAGAGGAUGACCAGCCACACUGGAACGGAGACACGGUCCAAACUCCUACGGGAGGCAGCAGUGGGGAAUAUUGCACAAUGGGCGCAAGCCUGAUGCAGCCAUGCCGCGUGAGUGAAGAAGGCCUUCGGAUUGUAAAGUACUGUCAUCAGGGAGGCGUUACCCUCAGAAGAAGCACCGGCUAACUCCGUGCCAGCAGCCGCGGUAAUUC